Molecule: ribosomal RNA, 253 nt
Filed under: uncultured bacterium
Lineage: Bacteria
Description: partial 16S ribosomal RNA
Rfam family: Bacterial small subunit ribosomal RNA
Source: RNAcentral
UACGUAGGGUGCGAGCGUUGUCCGGAAUUAUUGGGCGUAAAGGGCUCGUAGGCGGUUUGUCGCGUCGGGAGUGAAAUCCACUGGCUUAACCUGGGAACUGCAUCCGAUACUGGAUGGCUUGAAUCCGGGAGAGGGAUGCGGAAUUCCAGGUGUAGCGGUGAAAUGCGUAGAUAUCUGGAGGAACACCGGUGGCGAAGGCGGCAUCCUGGACCGGCAUUGACGCUGAGGAGCGAAAGCCAGGGGAGCAAACGGG